Rhodotorula sp. CCFEE 5036 is the source of this 81-nucleotide non-coding RNA. Lineage: Eukaryota; Fungi; Basidiomycota; Microbotryomycetes; Sporidiobolales; Sporidiobolaceae. The record is from the annotation of a GenBank genome assembly.
GCCGGAUUAGCUUAGUGGUAGAGCGUCACUCUUGUAAAAUGUGAGAAGUGAAGGUCGGGUGUUCAAUCCACCCAUUCGGCU